This 253-nucleotide ribosomal RNA is filed under the name uncultured bacterium. RNAcentral's name for it is "partial 16S ribosomal RNA". It matches the Rfam family "Bacterial small subunit ribosomal RNA", at positions 524 to 776 of the family's 1533-position model. The record is from RNAcentral.
UACGUAGGGUGCAAGCAUUAAUCGGAAUUAUUGGGCGUAAAGGGCGCGUAGGCGGAUAGUCAAGUCGUGUGUGAAAUUUCGAGGCUCAACCUCGAAGCGGCACAUGAAACUCACUAUCUUGAGGGUAGACGGAGAGAACGGAAUUCCACAAGUAGCGGUGAAAUGCGUAGAUAUGUGGAAGAACACCGGUGGCGAAGGCGGUUCUCUAGUUUAUUCCUGACGCUGAGGCGCGAAAGCAAGGGGAGCAAACAGG